CAAGUGGACGGGCGAAGCCUGCUCCGCCCCUCCGCGCUGAGCGAAGAAGGCCUCCGGGCCGUAAAGCUCUCUCGCAAGGGAAGAAACGAUGCAGUCGAAUAAACUGUGUUAAUGACGGUACCUUGAUAAGAAGCACCGGCUAACUACGUGCCAGCAGCAGCGGUAAUACGUAGGGUGCAAGCGUUAAUCGGAAUUACUGGGCGUAAAGCGUGCGCAGGCGGUUUUGUAAGUCAGAUGUGAAAUCCCCGAGCUCAACUUGGGAACUGCGUUUGAAACUACAAGACUAGAAUAUGUCAGAGGGGGGUAGAAUUCCACGUGUAGCAGUGAAAUGGGGAGAGAUGUGGAGGAAUACCAAUGGCGAAGGCAGCCCCCUGGGAUAAUAUUGACGCUCAUGCAUGAAAG
RNAcentral lists this ribosomal RNA (402 nucleotides) under uncultured bacterium. Its description in RNAcentral is "bacterial SSU rRNA". It matches the Rfam family "Bacterial small subunit ribosomal RNA", at positions 359 to 759 of the family's 1533-position model. The record is from RNAcentral.